Non-coding RNA from Enterococcus aquimarinus, 249 nucleotides. NCBI's taxonomy places the organism in Bacteria, Bacillati, Bacillota, Bacilli, Lactobacillales, Enterococcaceae. The record is from Rfam.
CCUUUUUACGCAUAAUAAACCACCUCUAUACAUUUUACUGUUCCUAUUCUGUUAGAAACAGGUAUUGAAAAACACAUCGUAAGGUUUAUUAGUUCCUAUUAUGCGUGCGGUAUAAUGAAAAAUACUGUUAGUUAGAAGGUAAUAAAAAAAACCGUUAUCUAACAGUUCUUUUUCUAUGCUUUAAAUUAACAUUAGAACCCCAUUUGAUUGAUGACGGUUUGAAAAAGCCGUCUUCUUUCUUUUACGACA